GAUGAACGCUGGCGGCGUGCUUAACACAUGCAAGUCGAACGGUGAAGCCAAGCUUGCUUGGUGGAUCAGUGGCGAACGGGUGAGUAACACGUGAGCAACCUGCCCCGGACUCUGGGAUAAGCGCUGGAAACGGCGUCUAAUACCGGAUAUGAACCACAGCCGCAUGGUUGGUGGUUGGAAGGAUUUUUUGGUUCGGGAUGGGCUCGCGGCCUAUCAGCUUGUUGGUGAGGUAAUGGCUCACCAAGGUGUCGACGGGUAGCCGGCCUGAGAGGGUGAACGGCCACACUGGGACUGAGACACGGCCCAGACUCCUACGGGAGGCAGCAGUGGGGAAUAUUGCACAAUGGGCGGAAGCCUGAUGCAGCAACGCCGCGUGAGGGAUGACGGCCUUCGGGUUGUAAACCUCUUUUAGCAAGGAAGAAGCGAAAGUGACGGUACUUGCAGAAAAAGCGCCGGCUAACUACGUGCCAGCAGCCGCAGUAA
RNAcentral lists this ribosomal RNA (483 nucleotides) under uncultured bacterium. RNAcentral's name for it is "partial 16S ribosomal RNA". It matches the Rfam family "Bacterial small subunit ribosomal RNA", at positions 28 to 523 of the family's 1533-position model. The record is from RNAcentral.